This 459-nucleotide ribosomal RNA is filed under the name uncultured bacterium. RNAcentral describes it as "partial 16S ribosomal RNA". It matches the Rfam family "Bacterial small subunit ribosomal RNA", at positions 338 to 795 of the family's 1533-position model. The record is from RNAcentral.
CCUACGGGUGGCAGCAGUGAGGAAUAUUGGUCAAUGGCCGAGAGGCUGAACCAGCCAAGUCGCGUGAAGGAAGACGGCCCUACGGGUUGUAAACUUCUUUUGUCGAGGAGCAAAGUGAACCACGUGUGGCUUAUUGAGUGUACUUGAAGAAAAAGCAUCGGCUAACUCCGUGCCAGCAGCCGCGGUAAUACGGAGGAUGCGAGCGUUAUCCGGAUUUAUUGGGUUUAAAGGGUGCGCAGGCGGUGGUGUAAGUCAGCGGUAAAAUUUCGGGGCUCAACCCCGUACUGCCGUUGAAACUGGAUGCCUUGAGUACGCUAGAGGUAUGCGGAAUGCGUGGUGUAGCGGUGAAAUGCUUAGAUAUCACGCAGAACUCCGAUUGCGAAGGCAGCAUACCGGCGCGCAACUGACGCUGAUGCACGAAAGCGUGGGUAUCGAACAGGAUUAGAUACCCCUGUAGUC